RNAcentral lists this unclassified non-coding RNA (222 nucleotides) under plant metagenome. Its description in RNAcentral is "partial contains small subunit ribosomal RNA, internal transcribed spacer 1, and 5.8S ribosomal RNA". The record is from RNAcentral.
UCUCCGUUGGUGAACCAGCGGAGGGAUCAUUACCGAGUUAUCAACUCCCAAACCCCUGUGAACAUACCCAACGUUGCUUCGGCGGGACCGCCCCGGCGCCCUCGGCGUCCCGGAACCAGGCGCCCGCCGGAGGACCCAAACUCUUGUUUAAACCAUAGUGGCAUAUUCUGAGUCUCACAAGAAAAAUGAAUCAAACUUUCAACAACGGAUCUCUUGGCUCUG